UGAGGUAAUGGCUCACCAAGGCUACGAUCCGUAACUGGUCUGAGAGGAUGAUCAGUCACACUGGAACUGAGACACGGUCCAGACUCCUACGGGAGGCAGCAGUGGGGAAUAUUGGACAAUGGGCGAAAGCCUGAUCCAGCCAUGCCGCGUGUGUGAAGAAGGUCUUCGGAUUGUAAAGCACUUUAAGUUGGGAGGAAGGGCAGUUACCUAAUACGUGAUUGUCUUGACGUUACCGACAGAAUAAGCACCGGCUAACUCUGUGCCAGCAGCCGCGGUAAUACAGAGGGUGCAAGCGUUAAUCGGAAUUACUGGGCGUAAAGCGCGCGUAGGUGGUUUGUUAAGUUGAAUGUGAAAUCCCCGGGCUCAACCUGGGAACUGCAUCCAAAACUGGCAAGCUAGAGUAUGGUAGAGGGUAGUGGAAUUUCCUGUGUAGCGGUGAAAUGCGUAGAUAUAGGAAGGAACACCAGUGGCGAAGGCGACUACCUGGACUGAUACUGACACUAAGGNCCGNGUGNGGGGGGAGCNAACUUUUUGAAUAGAUACCCUGGUAGUCCACGCCGUAAACGAUGUCAACUAACCGUUGGGAGUCUUGAACUCUUAGUGGCGCAGCUAACGCAUUAAGUUGACCGCCUGGGGAGUACGGCCGCAAGGUUAAAACUCAAAUGAAUUGACGGGGGCCCGCACAAGCGGUGGAGCAUGUGGUUUAAUUCGAAGCNACGCGAAGAACCUUACCAGGCCUUGACAUCCAAUGAACUUUCUAGAGAUAGAUUGGUGCCUUCGGGAACAUUGAGACAGGUGCUGCAUGGCUGUCGUCAGCUCGUGUCGUGAGAUGUUGGGUUAAGUCCCGUAACGAGCGCAACCCUUGUCCUUAGUUACCAGCACGUAAUGGUGGGCACUCUAAGGAGACUGCCGGUGACAAACCGGAGGAAGGUGGGGAUGACGUCAAGUCAUCAUGGCCCUUACGGCCUGGGCUACACACGUGCUACAAUGGUCGGUACAAAGGGUUGCCAAGCCGCGAGGUGGAGCUAAUCCCAUAAAACCGAUCGUAGUCCGGAUCGCAGUCUGCAACUCGACUGCGUGAAGUCG
Molecule: ribosomal RNA, 1086 nt
Filed under: uncultured Pseudomonas sp.
Lineage: Bacteria; Pseudomonadati; Pseudomonadota; Gammaproteobacteria; Pseudomonadales; Pseudomonadaceae
Description: bacterial SSU rRNA
Rfam family: Bacterial small subunit ribosomal RNA
Source: RNAcentral